AAUGGUCCGGUGAAGUGUUCGGAUCGCGGCGACACGGGUUGGUCGCUUGCGGCUACAAAGCCCGCGACGUCGCGAGAAGUCCACUGAACCUUAUCAUUUAGAGGAAGGAGAAGUCGUAACAAGGUUUCCGUAGGUGAACCUGCGGAAGGAUCAUUGUCGUUAACCCGAAUAGGAUGACCCGUGCACCGUGAUGGAAUUCCCCGGGGUGGUGAUGCCGCCUCGGCCCGUGGAGCCUUCCCGCCCGCCGGCGGGGAGGCUCCGCGAUUAAAAACCGGCGCGGAUUUGACGCCAAGGUAUACUCUUGAGGGCAGCGACCGGAUGACGGCUGUGCCGUGCGUUCGGCGCCCGAAAAUCAUGGAAUGACUCUCGGCAACGGAUAUCUAGGCUCUCGCAUCGAUGAAGAACGUAGCGAAAUGCGAUACGUGGUGUGAAUUGCAGAAUCCCGUGAACCAUCGAGUUUUUGAACGCAAGUUGCGCCCGAGGCCAUCUGGCCGAGGGCACGCCUGCCUGGGCGUCAGUUGCACUCGAACGCUCCGUGCUCAUAUUCAUGUUGCCGGACGCGAACCCUGGCCCUCCGAGCCCUCGGGCUUGACGGGCCGAAGAGCGUGGCUUGCCGAUUGGGGCCGGAUGUGGCGAGUGGUGGACAAAUCGCUCUCGCGACCCGUACGUCGCCCUCCGUCCCCGUUAGGUAGAAGCCCUCUAAGGAUACCCCGGACAUGAGGGUGCCGACCGGCAACCUCGGACAAAGACCCCAGGUCAGGCGGGACCACCCGCUGAGUUUAAGCAUAUAAUUAAGCGGAGGAGAAGAAACUUACGAGGAUUCCCCUAGUAACGGCGAGCGAACCGGGACCAGCCCAGCCUUGGAAUCACGCGGCGCCGCCGCGCGAAUU
Molecule: ribosomal RNA, 890 nt
Filed under: Juncus wallichianus
Lineage: Eukaryota; Viridiplantae; Streptophyta; Magnoliopsida; Poales; Juncaceae
Description: eukaryotic LSU rRNA
Rfam family: 5.8S ribosomal RNA (bases 362-517)
Source: RNAcentral